RNAcentral lists this ribosomal RNA (489 nucleotides) under Triticum aestivum (bread wheat). Its description in RNAcentral is "partial small subunit ribosomal RNA". Lineage: Eukaryota; Viridiplantae; Streptophyta; Magnoliopsida; Poales; Poaceae. The record is from RNAcentral.
AUGGAGAAGAUGAUGAGCGCAUUAUCAUUCAGUAAGUUAAGCUAUGGAUUUCAGUUGGAGGAGGAAGGCCGUUGGGCCGGGCUAUUUCACACCCGUGUGGUGGUGAGAGAGAGAUCAUGUGCUAUGAUGGUCGAUCACAUGAAUUUGAUCAACGCCGCAAGCAUCGAGAUGGUGGAGAAACUGAAUCUACCAAUGACACCAUGUCCACAACCAUACUGUUUCCGUUGGGGUCAUGAAGAGCUCACUGUCACGCAACAAACAAAGGAGACAUUGAAGAGGGGAUGUCUGGCCAUGAAGCCACCUUAUUGUGAUCGCCAUUGUAUAAUGUCUUUGUUGGGGUAUCUGCUUCUUUCAUGCUUGGAAACAUUGAUGAGGGGAUGUCUGUCCACAAAAUAUGUAAAUACCUCAGGAGGAGCACGGGCAGACGAGUUCCAGCGAAGACAGCAGAGGCGAGAGUGGAAGCUUGCGGCACGGCAAUGUCGAGCCUAA